AGUGAACGCUGGCGAUAGGCCUAACACAUGCAAGUCGAACGGCAGCACAGUAAGAGCUUGCUCUUACGGGUGGCGAGUGGCGGACGGGUGAGGAAUACAUCGGAAUCUACUUUUUCGUGGGGGAUAACGUAGGGAAACUUACGCUAAUACCGCAUACGACCUACGGGUGAAAGCAGGGGAUCUUCGGACCUUGCGCGAUUGAAUGAGCCGAUGUCGGAUUAGCUAGUUGGCGGGGUAAAGGCCCACCAAGGCGACGAUCCGUAGCUGGUCUGAGAGGAUGAUCAGCCACACUGGAACUGAGACACGGUCCAGACUCCUACGGGAGGCAGCAGUGGGGAAUAUUGGACAAUGGGCGCAAGCCUGAUCCAGCCAUACCGCGUGGGUGAAGAAGGCCUUCGGGUUGUAAAGCCCUUUUGUUGGGAAAGAAAAGCAGCAGGUGAAUACCCCGCUGUUCUGACGGUACCCAAAGAAUAAGCACCGGCUAACUUCGUG
Molecule: ribosomal RNA, 492 nt
Filed under: uncultured bacterium
Lineage: Bacteria
Description: partial 16S ribosomal RNA
Rfam family: Bacterial small subunit ribosomal RNA
Source: RNAcentral